GUUGUAUCUGCUUUUGUUUUAUUUUCAUUAGGGAUUCCAAGAUCAUUAUUGGUCAAUUGAUUUAAAGUAUUCUAGUUUAGAUUUUAAUGCUUGUUUAUUGGAUUAAUCAAAGGGCUUGAGUCGAGGUUGGUUCUACUUGCUCCCUGAGGUGGACUCUUGUGUUGCACCAGUGGUUCGACUAAGACUCCUAGGGUGAGGUUUCAUAGUACGGUAGUGUGUGAUCUACUGUAUAAAUGUGUUGAUGUCAUUAGAGCAAGGGCUCUCAGAUUAUACAUCGUGUGAUCUCUGUAUAUGCAACUAAUAAGUUUCGUGAAAAAGCUAUUGGCCUUUAACUGUGGCGUGUGAUUCAUCGUCCAUGUUAGGACAAGCUAUGCUAAUUUAGAGUACUUACGAUGAUUAUUUGUUGGUCGACCACCCCCGGAUUGCGCAAUCCCUCAAGUGAUAUUCAGAUUCUGGUAGGACGUGUAGAGUAUGCCUACAAAUGCUGCUCACACGAAUCUUUUUUGUUGGUUUCAUGGUCUCAGCACAAUCUCAAUUCUACACGAGUAUAGAUAGCCAAUCAGUGCUUAUUGCUAACCCCAUAAGACAUUUUUCCCUUGUGUUUCUCUGUAUUUCAGUCACGGGUACUGGAACUGAGGGUGGAGAGAGAGUUGGUCGGGGUUUUGAUAUCAGAUGAUAUCCAUUAUCGAUGUAUUUCUGAACUGCAGUUGUAUCUGCUUUUGUUUUAUUUUCAUUAGGGAUUCCAAGAUCAUUAUUGGUCAAUUUAUUUAAAGUAUUCCAGUUCAGAUUUUAAUGCUUGUUUAUUGGAUUAAUCAAAGGGCUUGAGUCGAGGUUGGUUCUACUUGCUCCCUGAGGUGGACUCUUGUGUUGCACCUGUGGUUCGACCAAGACUCCUAGGGUGAGGUUUCAUAGUACGGUAGUGUGUGAUCUACUGUAUAAAUGUGUUGAUGUCAUUAGAGCAAGGGCUCUCAGAUUAUACAUCGUGUGAUCUCUAUAUAUGCAACUAAUAAGUUUUGUGCAAAAGCUAUUGGCCUUUAACUGUGGCGUGUGAUUCAUCGUCCAUGUUAGGACAGGAUAUGCUAAUUUAGAGUACUUACGAUGAUUAUUUGUUGGUCGACCACCCCCGGAUUGCGCAAUCCCUCAAGUGAUAUUCAGAUUCUGGUAGGACGUGUAGAGUUUGCCUACAAAUGCUGCUCACACGAAUCCUUUCAGGUGGUUUCAUGGUCUUAUCAACGGUGAGGUUGUCCACACUGUUACGGGUGGCUGAUGCUAGGUAUAUUCCUAUACGGACCAUAGGGUCACAUCACUAGAUGCAGUGAUUAGAUAGACUUUCGUGUUGAAUUCUUAGCACAAUCUCAAUUCUACACGAGUAUAGAUAGCCAAUCAGUGCUUAUUGCUAACCCCAUAAGACAUUUUUCCCUUGUGUUUCUCUGUAUUUCAGUCACGGGUACUGGAACUGAGGGUGGAGAGAGAGUUGGUCGGGGUUUUGAUAUCAGAUGAUAUCCAUUAUCGAUGUAUUUCUGAACUGGAGUUGUAUCUGCUUUUGUUUUAUUUUCAUUAGGGAUUCCAAGAUCAUUAUUGGUCAAUUUAUUUAAAGUAUUCCAGUUCAGAUUUUAAUGCUUGUUUAUUGGAUUAAUCAAAGGGCUUGAGUCGAGGUUGGUUCUACUUGCUCCCUGAGGUGGACUCUUGUGUUGCACCAGUGGUUCGACUAAGACUCCUAGGGUGAGGUUUCAUAGUACAGUAGUGUGUGAUCUACUGUAUAAAUGUGUUGAUGUCAUUAGAGCAAGGGCUCUCAGAUUAUACAUCGUGUGAUCUCUGUAUAUGCAACUAAUAAGUUUCGUGAAAAAGCUAUUGGCCUUUAACUGUGGCGUGUGAUUCAUCGUCCAUGUUAGGACAGGAUAUGCUAAUUUAGAGUACUUACGAUGAUUAUUUUUUUGUCGACCACCCCCGGAUUGCGCAAUCCCUCAAGUGAUAUUCAGAUUCUGGUAGGACGUGUAGAGUAUGCCUACAAAUGCUGCUCACACGAAUCUUUUUUGUUGGUUUCAUGGUCUCAGCACAAUCUCAAUUCUACACGAGUAUAGAUAGCCAAUCAGUGCUUAUUGCUAACCCCAUAAGACAUUUUUCCCUUGUGUUUCUCUGUAUUUCAGUCACGGGUACUGGAACUGAGGGUGGAGAGAGAGUUGGUCGGGGUUUUGAUAUCAGAUGAUAUCCAUUAUCGACGUAUUUCUGAACUAGAGUUGUAUCUGCUUUUGUUUUAUUUUCAUUAGGGAUUCCAAGAUCAUUAUUGGUCAAUUUAUUUAAAGUAUUCCAGUUCAGUUUUUAAUGCUUGUUUAUUGGAUUUAUCAAAGGUCUUGAGUCGAGGUUGGUUCAACUUGCACCCUGAGGUGGACUCUUGUGUUGCACCAGUGGUUCGACCAAGACUCCUAGGGUGAGGUUUCAUAGUACAGUAGUG
This 2452-nucleotide long non-coding RNA is filed under the name Linum usitatissimum (flax). RNAcentral's name for it is "long non-coding RNA (LUSI_LNC003581)". The record is from RNAcentral. Lineage: Eukaryota; Viridiplantae; Streptophyta; Magnoliopsida; Malpighiales; Linaceae.